UAAAUUUAUACAUUAUACCGUAGACAGUAGGUGCUUUAACGAGCUUAAUUUCCUGCCGAGGUGUGUCUGGAUAUAUAACAGAGUCUCUUUUUGAAAAAAGAAACCUGUGUGCAGUCAUAAACCUCCAUGUCUAUUAAGAUGUUGGAGGUUUUUGUUUUUAU
RNAcentral lists this small RNA (161 nucleotides) under Gracilibacillus massiliensis. RNAcentral's name for it is "Ribosomal protein L10 leader". It matches the Rfam family "Ribosomal protein L10 leader". Rfam says of the family: This family is a putative r-protein leader autoregulatory structure found in B. subtilis and other low-GC Gram-positive bacteria. It is located in the 5' untranslated regions of mRNAs encoding ribosomal proteins L10 and L12 (rplJ-rplL). A Rho-independent transcription terminator structure that is probably involved in regulation is included at the 3' end. The record is from RNAcentral. Lineage: Bacteria; Bacillati; Bacillota; Bacilli; Caryophanales; Bacillaceae.